UGCCUUAGUAACGGCGAGUGAAGCGGCAACAGCUCAAAUUUGAAAUCUGGCCCUUGGGUCCGAGUUGUAAUUUGGAGAGGAUGUUUUGGGUACCGCCGUGGUUUAAAUUUCUUGGAACAGAAUGUCAGAGAGGGUGAGAGUCCCGUCUGGAACUGCGGUAGGGCCUAUGUAAAACUCCUUCGACGAGUCGAGUUGUUUGGGAAUGCAGCUCAAAAUGGGUGGUAAAUUUCAUCUAAAGCUAAAUAUUGGCCAGAGACCGAUAGCGCACAAGUAGAGUGAUCGAAAGAUGAAAAGCACUUUGAAAAGAGAGUUAAACAGUAUGUGAAAUUGUUGAAAGGGAAGCGCUUGCAACCAGACUUGUGUGUGGCGGUUCCCCCUUGCUUCUGCUUGGGCUACUCCGUCAUAUCCAGGCCAACAUCGGUUCUAGGGGUCGGUUAAAGGCCUUGGGAAUGUAUCUACCCCCGGGUAGACUUAUAGCCCAGGGUGUCAUGCGGCCUCCCGGGACCGAGGAACGCGCCUCGGCGAGGAUGUUGGCGUAAUGGUUGUCAGCGACCCGUCUUGAAACACGGACCAAGGAGUCUAACAUCUAUGCGAGUGUUUGGGUGUCAAACCCGUACGCGAAAUGAAAGUGAACGGAGGUAGGAAGCCUCAAGGCUGCACUAUCGACCGAUCCUGAUAUUUAUGGAUGGAUUUGAGUAAGAGCAUAGCUGUUGGGACCCGAAAGAUGGUGAACUAUGCCUGAAUAGGGUGAAGCCAGAGGAAACUCUGGUGGAGGCUCGCAGCGGUUCUGACGUGCAAAUCGAUCGUCAAAUUUGGGUAUAGGGGCGAAAGACUAAUCGAACCAUUAUAUGAUAGCUACUAGGUGGUUAAGUGUAACCUCAAAGUGGUUGCAAGUGCCUUAUUCUGGCGCGACACUGCUAAAUUGCGGGGACUUCCUAAAGCUAUUGCUACCAAGCUGGCCCUGAAAAGGGGCGGUGGCCGGGGUAAUGACCUAGGGUGUGGUAAAAACGCAAUAGAUGUAACAAUGGAUGAUCCGCAGCCAAGUCCUAAGGGUUUUUUAAGCCUAUGGAUGCAGUUCACAGACUAAAUGGCAGUGGGCUCUAAGUCAGGAUCUUGGAGCUUAAGAUAUAGUCGGUCCCCGGGGAAAGCCCGGGCGCAUACGCUAAAUCUGUGGUACAGAAUAGCCUCCUUAGGGAGGGGUUGCUACAGACCUGAACGGUGCGGACACUUCUUUUAGGGGUGUCGGUAAAUGCUGGUAGCUGGUUCCUGCCGAAGUUUCCCUCAGGAUAGCAGUAACGUUUUCAGUUUUAUGAGGUAAAGCGAAUGAUUAGAGGCCUUGGGGUUGAAACAACCUUAACCUAUUCUCAAACUUUAAAUAUGUAAGAAGCCCUUGUUACUUAAUUGAACGUGGGCAUUUGAAUGUAUCGUUACUAGUGGGCCAUUUUUGGUAAGCAGAACUGGCGAUGCGGGAUGAACCGAACGAGAGGUUAAGGUGCCGGAGUGCACGCUCAUCAGACACCACAAAAGGUGUCAAUGCAUCUAGACAGCCGGACGGUGGCCAUGGAAGUCGGAAUCCGCUUAGGAGUGUGUAACAACUCACCGGCCGAAUGCAUUGGCCCUGAAAAUGGAUGGCGCUUAAGCGUGUCACCUAUACCUCUCCGUAGCCGUUUACUGGAAGCGGCUACGAGUAGGCAGGCGUGGAGGUGCGUGACGAAGC
RNAcentral lists this ribosomal RNA (1717 nucleotides) under Chaetothyriales sp. MACm11a. Its description in RNAcentral is "eukaryotic LSU rRNA". It matches the Rfam family "Eukaryotic large subunit ribosomal RNA", at positions 76 to 1409 of the family's 3401-position model. The record is from RNAcentral. Lineage: Eukaryota; Fungi; Ascomycota; Eurotiomycetes; Chaetothyriales.